UACGAAGGGGGCGAGCGUUGUUCGGAUUUACUGGGCGUAAAGGGCGCGCAGGCGGCUAUCCAAGUCAGGCGUGAAAGCCCCGGGCUUAACCUGGGAGGUGCGUCUGGGACUGGGUGGCUAGAGUUCGGGAGAGGUGAGUGGAACUGCGAGUGUAGAGGUGAAAUUCGUAGAUAUUCGCAAGAACACCAGUGGCGAAGGCGGCUCACUGGCCCGAUACUGACGCUGAGGCACGAAAGCGUGGGGAGCAAACAGG
This 253-nucleotide ribosomal RNA is filed under the name uncultured bacterium. RNAcentral's name for it is "partial 16S ribosomal RNA". It matches the Rfam family "Bacterial small subunit ribosomal RNA", at positions 524 to 776 of the family's 1533-position model. The record is from RNAcentral.